AUGAAAGUGGUCCUCCACCAUUCCUCACAAAGACUUAUGACAUAGUUGAUGAUGUUUCCACUGAUGACAUAGUUUCAUGGAGCAGAGAAAACAACAGCUUCGUUGUGUGGGAUCCUCAAGCUUUUUCCAUCACUCUUCUCCCCAAAUACUUCAAACACAACAACUUCUCCAGCUUUGUCAGACAGCUCAAUACCUAUGUAUGUAUAUUACUCUCUAUAUAUAUAUAUGCAUGCUUAUACUACAUACACAGCAUGAUCCACUUGGACACAUCAACUAGAUAUAUAAGUGUGUCUCAUAAAUCUCAUAAGCUAAUUUUAUAUAAGUUAAUAUGAGGUUUAGUUAAACUUAAACUCUAUUUUAUUAAUUUGAUUUUUAAAGAAUGGGCAAGAAUGAUGUCUGUACAAACAUAACAGUUUUGUGUUGAUCAAAUGGUGUUUUAUUUUGAUCCAUAUGAAAAAUGAGACUAUCAUGUCAUAUGCAUUCAUGUUGAAAUGAUGAAUCUGUGCCAUUUUGAACUGAGAGUUGCUUGCAUUGUGAUUAAAUGAAAUUGUAUGACAUUAUGAAUAACUGCAAUGUAUAUAUUCUUUUGUGUAUAAAUAUGAAUGUGUUAUUAGUAAUUUGUUUCUGUCUUCGUUUGCUGAUUGUGUAUUAUAGUUGGUAAAUUUGAUUGGUGUUUGGUAUAAUUUUAUUUGCUGACCUUCCUUUCCUGUUCUCUUUCUGUUUGUUUAAUGUCUUGAAAGGGAGAAGUACAAAGAUUGCGUAACACAUUAUAAUUGUUGACAUGUUCCAUUUGAGCUGUAACUUUGAUCUUCUUUGAUUGAAGGGUUUCUUAAGAUAUGGCUGUCACAAUUCAUUGUUACCAACAUAGUGAGAUUUUAUGGAUUUGAAUAGAAGGAACUUGGUGUUGUUGUAGGG
This 915-nucleotide long non-coding RNA is filed under the name Phaseolus vulgaris (common bean). RNAcentral's name for it is "long non-coding RNA (PVUL_LNC002450)". Lineage: Eukaryota; Viridiplantae; Streptophyta; Magnoliopsida; Fabales; Fabaceae. The record is from RNAcentral.